GUCGAUACACUCUCAAUAAUAAAUGAGUAUAUUUUAUAUACUCGAGUAUAUUUUAAAUCUUUUAAAUCUCUCUUCGCUGUUCACACGACUGACUGCGCGUCCACCUUGUGUUUACUUCCUUAAUGCGGAUACACCUAUUGACCACAAGCCGGAGCUGAAGAUCACCCAUACACGAGUUCAUUAGUCACGUUUUCUUGAGUAUAAUAAUUAGACAAUGCAGUCAGAAUUAAUUAUUGUGCUUGUAAUACGACAUUAAACUAUAAAAAUAAUAAUUUUAAGUCUGUUUAAGCCUACAACGCGGACUUUAUGUUGUAACUUGUAGCGCAGUUCUCCAUCCGCCCCACUAGGGGGCGCGCACUGCUUCACGUUAUGUCUAACUCGCAGCUUUCAGGUGUUUGACACUGACAGCAUGAGGCUUGAAGAUACAACAGGUAAAACAAAUCCUGACAGCUCCGUGAUUGUAUUAUAAUAUCUAUAAACAACGCACAAACAAACUGAACAGACACGCCGCGCUGUAAAGUGCAGUAAUACAGUGACAAGAGACGCACCUUGUCCCGUUAACCAGAUGCUGAAACACAGAGAUCAUUUGAAGACAAUAACCUCAACAUCAACAGCACACUUCCAUCCAUAUGCACAUGCAUGCAGCAGACUGGAACCGCAAGCUGGUGUGAUGAGUUUCUCAUGUAAUGUAAUGUGUAUUUAUAUAGCGCAUUCAUCGUGUAUGGCCAUACACCUAAAACGCUUCACAAUCAAGAGGGAUGUGGAGGUCUCUCCACACCACCACCAGAGUGCAGCAUCCAUGAUGUGAUGAAAGCCACAGGAUAACUACGCCAGUGCUUCACCACACACCAGCUAUAGGGGGAGUACAGAGACAGUGAUAGAGCCAAUUCUGUGGAUGGGGAAGAGUGGGAGGACAUGAUGGAUAAGGGCAGAUGAAGGGAAUUUAGCCAGGACACUGGGGUUACACCCCUACUCUUUAGAAGAAGUGCCAUGGAUUUUCCGAUGACCACAAAGAGUCAGGAUUUCAGUUUAACGUCUCAUCCGAAGACAGAUGUCGCUGCAUUUAAAAGUUCAAGAUUGGUGACUGGCGAAAUCACAUUAUACGAUUGUGUGAGAGAAAUAGAAGAUCAAAACAAGACCUCUCUGUGCAGAAAUGUAAAAUAUGAAGCAGUCGCUCGCUUUAUCAUUGUCUAAUCAUCAUCUUAUAUCCUGCCCCUUUUCACAGUGCCGUAUCUCACAUGCUCAACUCUAGUGUGACUGUGGCUUUACUCAGUUCAGUUUAGUAAACUUGCCCACAACCAACGGUGCGGGUUCGAAAUUCCUGAUAUUGCAUUUGCUUAACAGGAUAUGAAGUCUUGAUGUGAAGAAUGCUGAUUGUUGAUGUCUAGAAUUCAGACCCAGAGAAUGAAUGAGUCAAAACAACUUGCUGAAAC
Danio rerio (zebrafish) is the source of this 1433-nucleotide non-coding RNA. The record is from RefSeq and is a predicted model, not a curated record. Lineage: Eukaryota; Metazoa; Chordata; Actinopteri; Cypriniformes; Danionidae.